Molecule: ribosomal RNA, 253 nt
Filed under: uncultured bacterium
Lineage: Bacteria
Description: partial 16S ribosomal RNA
Rfam family: Bacterial small subunit ribosomal RNA
Source: RNAcentral
UACGUAGGUGGCAAGCGUUAUCCGGAAUUAUUGGGCGUAAAGAGCGCGCAGGUGGUUAAUUAGGUCUGAUGUGAAAGCCCACGGCUUAACCGUGGAGGGUCAUUGGAAACUGGUUGACUUGAGUGCAGAAGAGGGAAGUGGAAUUCCAUGUGUAGCGGUGAAAUGCGUAGAGAUAUGGGGGAACACCAGUGGCGAAGGCGGCUUCCUGGUCUGCAACUGACACUGAGGCGCGAAAGCGUGGGGAGCAAACAGG